Molecule: non-coding RNA, 75 nt
Organism: Clonostachys solani
Lineage: Eukaryota; Fungi; Ascomycota; Sordariomycetes; Hypocreales; Bionectriaceae
Source: the annotation of a GenBank genome assembly
GGUGAUUAACAUCCUUGCAGGUUAGGAUUGGUGCCUUCCAAGCACUAUGGCUGGGUUCGAUUCCCAGAUUACGCA